This 219-nucleotide unclassified non-coding RNA is filed under the name Hevea brasiliensis (rubber tree). The record is from RNAcentral. Lineage: Eukaryota; Viridiplantae; Streptophyta; Magnoliopsida; Malpighiales; Euphorbiaceae.
CGGUAGCAUCAUCUUCCACCUCAUCUACAACCCAUGUCCUCCACCGCGUCUUUCGCCCACCCCCACCACAACCACCAUUACUUUCCUUCUUCUUCAGACCUCUUUCCACCUCCACCGCUGCUAGCAUCACCAGAAAAGCUACUCUCUUCAAGUGCCAAAACACUCAACUUCAAAUUAGUUCGUCCACCACCCUCUUCUCUUUUCUGCAUUCACCGCCCG